This is a long non-coding RNA of Pseudoliparis swirei, 545 nucleotides long. RefSeq lists it as uncharacterized. The transcript has 3 exons. The record is from RefSeq and is a predicted model, not a curated record. NCBI's taxonomy places the organism in Eukaryota, Metazoa, Chordata, Actinopteri, Perciformes, Liparidae.
CAGUGCAAAGUGAAACUCAAGGAGAAUGAGAGAGGGUCGUGAAAGGAGAAGGAGAAAAGCAACAGCUUCGACAAGGUUGAGGGAGGAAGGAAGAGUCCGAAAGCAUCGCCAUGGUGACUCACCUGCAGCACGGCUGCAUCGCCCCACGGCAUGACAUCAUCAGGUUCAGCAUGACAUCAUCAGGUUCAGCAUGACAUCAUCAGUCACGGCAGGUCGACUGGAAAUAGACGGCAUUCCUGGUCGGUGAGCUUGACCUGACACAGGAAACCACGGCGGGUUCAGAGGAGGAUCGCUCGCCGCCAUCGUGACGGAGCGAAAAUCGCCGCCGCCGCCGCCGCGUGCCGAUCAGCCGUGUCAGACUCAACCAGAAGAUGGAUACCACAGGUCCAGCUGGGAGAGGGUUAGCUUAGCAUCAAUGCUAACAGCAGGCUCAGUGUGAAGGAAACAACACAGUCCAUCGAGAGGAUGAACUUCAAGACUCCUUUCAUCUUUAACACAGAAGAAGAUUCACUCCUUACACACUUACCUUUCACAAUAAAAGUCUU